GCUGAUACAUGCUUGUAGCAAGCAGAGCUGGGCAGCCGAGCCAUCUGCAAAUGGGAGCAAACAUCUGGAAUGGCUUCUUGUGGCAGUGGGACCGUCGCCGGUCUUACCGAUAGAGGCAGAGGAGAAACCACAGAACCUCGUUAGGUCCUGCAGGAGAUCCGGCAGCAGUGCCAGGAUACGUAAGUCGAGUUCUGGAGGUCAGAAGUCUGCAACGAGUCUCACUGGGCGAACAUCAAGGUGUCAGCUGGGCUGUGUUCCUCCUGGAGAGGCUGGGGGAGAACCUGUUUCCUCACCUUUUCCAGCCUCGGGAGCCCAUCCACAGUCCUUGGAAUGUGGCCCUUCCUCCGACCUCACAGCCAUAGUCACAUCACUCUGACCUCUGCUUCCAUGGUCUCACCUCAUUCUUGAUCCUCUCGCCUCCCUCGUCCAUCUUUUAAGAACCCUUGUGGUUACACUGGGCCCACUGGGAUGAUCCGGGAUCAUCUCCCCAUCUCAAGGUGGUAAAUUUCGUCACAUCAGCAAAGUCCCUUUUAUCACAUAAGGCACCGUAGUCACAGGUUCCAGGAUCUGGACGUCUUUGGGGACCAUUACUCUGCUGAUCCCGUCCAUAUGUGCUGAUACUGUCAUUUCCUGACACCCAUCUUUUCCGCAUUAUCUGUUGAUUUCUUAUUACUAGACUGGAGGAUUUCACUCUUAACAUCUUUAUUCACCUCCUCCCCUUACACUCUCAGUGUGUUAUUAUGACAUUGUAACAAUUGUUCCCUGCUGAGCCAACUCAUAUACUGUGAUUUCAUUUCCUUUCUUGUAGAGCAUUUUCUCCCCUGGACUUCUACUUGCUUUGAUCUCUGCCCUACAAUUUAGUAUGGUCAUAUUCCCGUGCUUCUCCCGGAACGCUCCCUGUGAGAGCCUUCUGACCUCAGGUCCCAUAGGGUUUCUGGGCACCGCACAGCAUGGUGGUUGGGUUUUAAGCAUGUACAUUCUGAGAGAGAGACAGAGAGACACACACACACAGAGAAGGAGGAGAGAGGUGGGAAGAGAGGUGGUGAGAGAGGUGGGGGAGAUGAUGUGUCGGGGGGGAUGGUGGAGAGAGAACACUGCUGCGUUCUAGUCCUCACAUUCUAUUCCCAAAGACCCUCUGAGUUUCAAGGUGGGCAGGGGAUAGACACCAUCUCCUAAAGGCAGUAUGCUACCUCCUGGAAGGAUAUUGGAGACCAGAAAUAUUAUAUUGACAAUUUUGGAAAAUAUUAACCUACCAUACAGUGUAACACAGUUGUUGUUUUCUUUUUUUUCUCAAACAAGAAAUUUGUUCUUUAAGAGAGACUGGGGCCAGUCGAAUAAAAAGUAUUUUUUACUCCA
Long non-coding RNA from Orcinus orca (killer whale), 1356 nucleotides. RefSeq lists it as uncharacterized. The transcript is spliced from 2 exons. Lineage: Eukaryota; Metazoa; Chordata; Mammalia; Artiodactyla; Delphinidae. The record is from RefSeq and is a predicted model, not a curated record.